This 207-nucleotide small RNA is filed under the name Leminorella grimontii. RNAcentral's name for it is "GlmZ RNA activator of glmS mRNA". It matches the Rfam family "GlmZ RNA activator of glmS mRNA". From Rfam's summary of the family: This RNA was discovered in E. coli during a large scale screen. The sraJ gene was expressed in early logarithmic phase, but its level decreased with cell growth. Specific cleavage products of this RNA were found. The record is from RNAcentral. Lineage: Bacteria; Pseudomonadati; Pseudomonadota; Gammaproteobacteria; Enterobacterales; Budviciaceae.
GUAGAUGCUCAUUCACCCAUUUAUGACAGUCGAUCCAAGUCGCUUCAUAAGCUAUCGAAUGAUGCAGAGCCGAGUUAGGGUGUCUAUGGUCUGGCUUAUGAUGAUGACCUCAUCAAACAUCAGGCAUAACGUUGAGUGAGACACCACCAUGUUGUCCUUUGACCUGAUUUUUUUCUCACACUUGUCUUUUUAGGCAAGUGUUUUUUU